UCCGUGCCGUCUGGCCGCGCGCGACCCACGCCCCGCCGCCGGACGGCGUGUUGCGGGUUGUGGAGGCCGCGACCAAGACGAAGAAACUGAGGCACAGAGAGUGAAGCAACAGUUAAACCAGUGAAGAACCUAACAAAGUUCAAGUUUGAACAUCCUUGCCGUUCCCCGGGAGUGCCCAGUCUGGCCCACCAACCGACUUCCCUCUGCUGCGUAAAAGCAAGAAGGAAGACAACGGGCAAUGGGGGCACCCAGGACCUGGCACAAGAUGAAGGGAUGAGAAGAUGCAGCGUGCUGUGAAAUCCAAGAUGACCACCUCCCCGAACCCCGUCCACCUCACCUGGGUCCUUCCUUCUUCAUUUUUCCCUUUUCCUUAGCAGAUUCAGUACUUCUCUCACUGCUGUCUCCUUUCCUUCUGCCUUCCAACAUCCACAAGUUUCCUUUUGUUCUGUCACUUCUGUCUACUACACAGUCCUUGAGAUAGUGAUCUACACCCCUUACCUUCCUUCCUCUCCACUUGCUCUCCUUGACCCGGAAAUAUGUUGCCCCCUCUCCACACCUGCCGAAAUCCCUGUCACCUCCCAGCUCCAAACCCCAGCCUUCGGUCUGCUCUGUUCCUACUGAAGCCUCUGCAGUUGAUGAUGCUCAUAGACCUCUUUCUUAAGGUUGUCUUCUCUGCUGACAUCUGUGUACUCUCCCCUCUCCCACGGUAGUCUUCCUCAGUUCCUCUUCCUCCUCUCCGCUCCUGGUGUGUGUCUGUCUGUCUGUCUGUCUGUCUCUCUCACUCUCCACAUCUCCCUUGGGAGUCUUAUCUAAUCCGUUGCUUCCCUACGUAACCACCUCCAUCUCCUGGGCCACACUUCUAAAUGCCAGCUGCAUAUUGCUUCCAUCAAAUGUAACAUAUUUAAACCAGAAUUUCUCAACUCACCCCCCAAUCCAAGUAGCCACUUUCUCAUGACUUCCCUAUUUCAACAACCUGGGCUGCAUCUCUGAGAUACUCUGAAGCUUCAAGCCUGGCUUCUUUUGAAUCCUUCAACUUCCACAGUGCAUCAGUCUUUACAUCCUUCAAAAUGUCUCCCAAAUUGGUGCCUCUUCAGCUCCCACCACAGCUACCUUUCCUGGGUUGUUUUGUGCCUCCAUCAUCACUCCCCUGUGCAAACACCUCAGAGGUCCCCUGCCACGUGUGGACUGAAGCCCAGCUGUGCGGACCUUCUCCAGGGUGGCUCCCUCUGGUCCUUCCCCACUGCAGAACUUCUCUCCCUUGUCUCCAUCCUGACCUUCCACCUGCAGCAAGACCCAGUUUGUGUCUCACCUCUGCACUUGCUUUUAUCGUGACCUCAGUGGGAGGUCGUCUCUUAUCUAACCUCAGCUCCAAAAUACAAUAUGCGUAGAUGUCUGCUCCACGCGUUGGGUCUGGCACGCUCAGACUUCCUUGCCUGUGUGUUUGUCUGUUCUCCCAGCAAUAUCUGAAGCUUCUAGAGCACCUUUGCAUUUGUUUGUGCCCUGCUGGGAUGGGGUUGGUAAAUUCAUAAGCUCAGAGCGAGACUAGGAAGACAAAUAUGUGAUCGGAAGGGAGCAAGGCAGGUGCGUAAUGGAGUAGAGUGGAAGGGCCAGUGUUGGCCUAACAAAACCCAUCUGCAGGUUGAAUGGAGCUGUGGGCCACCACUUUGAGAUCCUCACCCAGGUGCCUCGCCCUGGCAGCUACUCCGUGAAUACUCUUUAUGGUUGAUUCCCCAGAGGCAGCAG
This is a long non-coding RNA of Diceros bicornis minor, 1743 nucleotides long. RefSeq lists it as uncharacterized. The record is from RefSeq and is a predicted model, not a curated record. The transcript has 3 exons. Lineage: Eukaryota; Metazoa; Chordata; Mammalia; Perissodactyla; Rhinocerotidae.